AUGAUUAAAGAUAGCUUGCUAUUUUUAUGAAGAGCGGCGAACGGGUGAGUAACGCGUGGGAAAUCUGCCGAGUAGCGGGGGACAACGUUUGGAAACGAACGCUAAUACCGCAUAACAAUGAGAAUCGCAUGAUUCUUAUUUAAAAGAAGCAAUUGCUUCACUACUUGAUGAUCCCGCGUUGUAUUAGCUAGUUGGUAGUGUAAAGGACUACCAAGGCGAUGAUACAUAGCCGACCUGAGAGGGUGAUCGGCCACACUGGGACUGAGACACGGCCCAGACUCCUACGGGAGGCAGCAGUAGGGAAUCUUCGGCAAUGGGGGCAACCCUGACCGAGCAACGCCGCGUGAGUGAAGAAGGUUUUCGGAUCGUAAAACU
This 375-nucleotide ribosomal RNA is filed under the name Lactococcus garvieae. RNAcentral's name for it is "bacterial SSU rRNA". It matches the Rfam family "Bacterial small subunit ribosomal RNA", at positions 66 to 432 of the family's 1533-position model. The record is from RNAcentral. Lineage: Bacteria; Bacillati; Bacillota; Bacilli; Lactobacillales; Streptococcaceae.